RNAcentral lists this ribosomal RNA (173 nucleotides) under uncultured Bacteroidota bacterium. RNAcentral describes it as "uncultured Bacteroidetes bacterium partial 16S ribosomal RNA". It matches the Rfam family "Bacterial small subunit ribosomal RNA", at positions 355 to 525 of the family's 1533-position model. The record is from RNAcentral. Lineage: Bacteria; Pseudomonadati; Bacteroidota.
UGAGGAAUAUUGGUCAAUGGAGGCAAGUCUGAACCAGCCACGUCGCGUGAAGGAUGACGGCCCUACGGGUUGUAAACUUAUUUUGUAAGGGAAUAAAGUGUGUUACGUGUAGCAUUUUGCAUGUACCUUACGAAAAAGGAUCGGCUAACUCAGUGCAAGCAACCGCGGUAAUA